RNAcentral lists this ribosomal RNA (371 nucleotides) under uncultured Veillonellaceae bacterium. RNAcentral's name for it is "bacterial SSU rRNA". It matches the Rfam family "Bacterial small subunit ribosomal RNA", at positions 382 to 748 of the family's 1533-position model. Lineage: Bacteria; Bacillati; Bacillota; Negativicutes; Veillonellales; Veillonellaceae. The record is from RNAcentral.
UCUGACGGAGCAACGCCGCGUGCGUGAUGACGGCCCUCUGGUUUGAAAGCUGUGUUGAUGGGGACGAAUGUGCCGUGUUUGAAUAUUGUUUGGAAGUGACGGUACCUGACGAAGAAGCCACGGCUAACUACGUGCCAGCAGCCGCGGUAAUACGUAGGUGGCAAGCGUUGUCCGGAAUUAUUGGGCGUAAAGGGAGCGCAGGCGGGAAUGUAAGUCGGUCUUAAAAGUGCGGGGCUCAACCCCGUGAUGGGAUCUAAACUAUCUUUCUUGAGUGCAUGAAAGGAAAUGGAAUUCCUCCUGUGGCGGUCCAAUGCGUAAAUAUAAAGAGGAGCACUGGGGGGACCGUUUAUAUUCGCGCCUGUGGGAGGAUA